This 903-nucleotide ribosomal RNA is filed under the name uncultured bacterium. RNAcentral describes it as "bacterial SSU rRNA". It matches the Rfam family "Bacterial small subunit ribosomal RNA", at positions 51 to 951 of the family's 1533-position model. The record is from RNAcentral.
ACACAUGCAAGUCGAACGGAGUUAUUUUGGCAGAAGCCUUCGGGUGGACGCUGAUAUAACUUAGUGGCGAACGGGUGAGUAACACGUGAGCAACCUGCCCUUCAGAGGGGGACAACAGUUGGAAACGACUGCUAAUACCGCAUAAGACCACGGUGUGGCAUCACACAGAGGUCAAAGGAGAAAUCCGCUGAAGGAUGGGCUCGCGUCCAAUUAGCUAGAUGGUGAGGUAACGGCCCACCAUGGCGACGAUUGGUAGCCGGACUGAGAGGUUGAUCGGCCACAUUGGGACUGAGACACGGCCCAGACUCCUACGGGAGGCAGCAGUGGGGAAUAUUGCACAAUGGAGGAAACUCUGAUGCAGCGACGCCGCGUGAGGGAAGAAGGUCUUCGGAUUGUAAACCUCUGUUGUCAGGGACGAUAAUGACGGUACCUGACGAGGAAGCCACGGCUAACUACGUGCCAGCAGCCGCGGUAAAACGUAGGUGGCAAGCGUUGUCCGGAAUUACUGGGUGUAAAGGGAGCGCAGGCGGGAGAGCAAGUUGGAAGUGAAAUCUGUGGGCUCAACUCACAAAUUGCUUUCAAAACUGUUUUUCUUGAGUGGUGUAGAGGUAGGCGGAAUUCCCGGUGUAGCGGUGGAAUGCGUAGAUAUCGGGAGGAACACCAGUGGCGAAGGCGGCCUACUGGGCACUAACUGACGCUGAGGCUCGAAAGCAUGGGUAGCAAACAGGAUUAGAUACCCUGGUAGUCCAUGCCGUAAACGAUGAUUACUAGGUGUGGGAGGAUUGACCCCUUCCGUGCCGCAGUUAACACAAUAAGUAAUCCACCUGGGGAGUACGACCGCAAGGUUGAAACUCAAAGGAAUUGACGGGGGCCCGCACAAGCAGUGGAGUAUGUGGUUUAAUU